GAUUAUUUAUAUAUUUGAAAAGGACAAAGCUUGCGGGAGGAGGAGAGCUGAGAGGAGGCAGGAGUCACACUGCGCUAAUGUGGUCACAGCCGGUCUACCAGGCAGCUCCAGUCAAAACAAAUCCGUCACAGAAGGGUGGAAAAAAGAAGAAAAAAAGAAGAAAGUUCACACACUUAACAUUCAAAACAAGCCCCCACCCGCCAGCCCUCCACCCUUUAACUCACAGGGAGAACAGUUUGCUGACACAAGAGUCAAAAAAGGCCCUGAGCAAUCCUACAAUCCCUCAGCGACAGGAGGAGCCAAUAAUUGUUGUCUGCUUAAGAGGGAGAGCUGGAACAAUAAAUCACCUGAAAGUAUGAGAGGUACAGCGGAGUUCUCAGAGUAGGAGGACACGUUGUGGUCCACUGACUGAGCAGAGCUAAUACACAUCUUCUGAUCCAUUUCCAUUGGAAAAUCAGCCUCAAGGAGUCGAGAGUUCACAGCCAAUCACAAGCUUUUGUCGGUCUCACAGCCAAAUACUCUCUGUGGAUUCCUGCCAUUCACCUGCCCACUGACUCACCAUCGACACCUUGGAUCUCCCCAGAACCCUGUUCCAAGGACUGUUCUCCUGCACUAACAAAUACUGCCCCAGUGCUCCCUACUACCUGUCACUGAACUCUCUUCAUUUGUUAAAUGUGGCCCCUAGUCUACCCUUGCUAUGAUGGCAGAAUGGAGAAAACUCCCAUCCAUGGCUGACUGCAGCGACCAUACCCUCUGAAGAGACAAGUGGACCCACUUUAUCCCACCAAAUGCACAAUUACACAUUAUUACAGAGCCACUGUCAUUAUAACAGAACCAGGUCACUAGCGUUCAGUGAUGGUGUGACUGCUAAUGGUAUGAUAAAUUUUGAAGUGUACAGGGCUGUGCUCUCUGCUCUUAUUCAGACGAAUGCUGAAAAAUGCAACCCUGAAUGGACAGCACUUCACAGUACAAAUAGAUAAUAAUCGAAAGCGUACUGCAAAAGCAACCCAAGAGUUUCUCAAGGCAAAGAGAAUGGAGAUUUUUCAAUGGCCAAGUCGGUCACCUGAACUGAACCCAAUGAGGCAUGCUUUUUAGUUUACUGAAGCGAAAACAGAAGGGAGAGAGACCCACAAACAAGCUGCAGCCAAAGGUGGCUGCAGUUAAGGCCUGGCAAAGCAUCUCAAGGGAGGAUACACAGUGUUUGGUGUCCAUGGUUCAACACUUCAAGCAGUCAUUACUCAAAACAAUCCUUUAAGUUGUGACGUCAGUUUUUCCACUUACUUUUGUGUCUCUGAAAAUGUGACACUAUGUGUGUAAAAAUAUCUGUAUUUCCAAAACAGUUAUUGACAUACUAUACAGUUUAAA
This is a long non-coding RNA of Pelmatolapia mariae (spotted tilapia), 1365 nucleotides long. RefSeq lists it as uncharacterized. The transcript is spliced from 6 exons. The record is from RefSeq and is a predicted model, not a curated record. NCBI's taxonomy places the organism in Eukaryota, Metazoa, Chordata, Actinopteri, Cichliformes, Cichlidae.